GACGAACGCUGGCGGCGUGCUUAACACAUGCAAGUCGAACGGUGAAGCGAGUGCUUGCACUCGUGGAUCAGUGGCGAACGGGUGAGUAACACGUGAGUAACCUGCCCAUCACUCUGGGAUAAGCACUGGAAACGGUGUCUAAUACUGGAUACGACCAACCCUUGCAUGGGGUGUUGGUGGAAAGAUUUAUCGGUGAUGGAUGGACUCGCGGCCUAUCAGCUUGUUGGCGGGGUAAUGGCCCACCAAGGCGACGACGGGUAGCCGGCCUGAGAGGGUGACCGGCCACACUGGGACUGAGACACGGCCCAGACUCCUACGGGAGGCAGCAGUGGGGAAUAUUGCACAAUGGGCGAAAGCCUGAUGCAGCGACGCCGCGUGAGGGAUGACGGCCUUCGGGUUGUAAACCUCUUUCAGCAGGGAAGAAGCGAAAGUGACGGUACCUGCAGAGGAAGCACCGGCUAACUACGUG
RNAcentral lists this ribosomal RNA (469 nucleotides) under uncultured bacterium. Its description in RNAcentral is "partial 16S ribosomal RNA". It matches the Rfam family "Bacterial small subunit ribosomal RNA", at positions 28 to 507 of the family's 1533-position model. The record is from RNAcentral.